Molecule: ribosomal RNA, 164 nt
Filed under: Nassauvia lagascae
Lineage: Eukaryota; Viridiplantae; Streptophyta; Magnoliopsida; Asterales; Asteraceae
Also listed under: 10 other names
Description: 5.8S ribosomal RNA
Rfam family: 5.8S ribosomal RNA
About the family: 5.8S ribosomal RNA (5.8S rRNA) is a component of the large subunit of the eukaryotic ribosome.
Source: RNAcentral
CAAACGACUCUCGGCAACGGAUAUCUCGGCUCACGCAUCGAUGAAGAACGUAGCAAAAUGCGAUACUUGGUGUGAAUUGCAGAAUCCCGUGAACCAUCGAGUUUUUGAACGCAAGUUGCGCCCGAAGCCAUCCGGCUGAGGGCACGUCUGCCUGGGCGUCACGC